GCUGGGCACAGUGGCACGUGCCUAUAGUCCCAGCUACUUGGGAGGCUGAGGUGUGAGGAUCUCUUGAGCCCAGGAGUUCUGGGCUGUAGUGCGCUAUGCGGAUUGGGUGUCCGCACUAAGUUCAGCAUCAACAUGGUGACCUCCCGGGAGCAGGGAAUCAUCAGGUUGCCUAAGGAAGGGUGAACUGGCCCAGGUCAGAAAUAGCGCAGGUCAAAACUUCGGUGCUGAUCAGUAGUGGGAUCGCACCUGUGAAUAGCCACUGCACUCCAGCCUGGGCAACAUAGCGAGACCCCGUCUCU
This 299-nucleotide signal recognition particle RNA is filed under the name Cebus imitator (Panamanian white-faced capuchin). RNAcentral's name for it is "Metazoan signal recognition particle RNA (ENSCCAG00000010488.1)". It matches the Rfam family "Metazoan signal recognition particle RNA". From Rfam's summary of the family: The signal recognition particle (SRP) is a universally conserved ribonucleoprotein. Lineage: Eukaryota; Metazoa; Chordata; Mammalia; Primates; Cebidae. The record is from RNAcentral.